Cyprinus carpio (common carp) is the source of this 1220-nucleotide long non-coding RNA. The record is from Ensembl. Lineage: Eukaryota; Metazoa; Chordata; Actinopteri; Cypriniformes; Cyprinidae.
AAUGUUUGGAUGUCCCUGUUGGGCUCAUGGACUAAAAGGAUUUGAUAGCUUCAAUCCAAGAUCUUUUCCAUCCGUCUCAAUGGCAGUUGAUUCAGGAACCCCACGAACAUGUGAUCUGAAAUUUGUCAUCUUUUUUUUUUUUUUUUUGAGACAGUUGCUUAAGUCGAAAGAGGGGGUGAUGUUUAAAGAAGCUUGCCACAUUUUUAAUGUAUCUAGUUGGUUCUCCAUUAACUGUGACUAAUUAGAAACCCAUCUGAUGGAACUGAAACUCACUGAUAUUUGUGACUGUGUUUGUGCUUUCUGUUUUAGCUGAAUGACAUUAACAAGCUACAGGUUACAUAUUAAGUUCAUGUGUUGAUGAAACACUAAAAACACAGCUGUAGUUUCAGCAGGAGUUGGGAUUUAGCCAUAGUUGGUAAAAGUGGAUUGAGAGAAGUUAAUUCAGGCUAAUCUUUGCCCUCCAAACUGUAAGAGAAGAGUGUUGGGGUUAAUCAUGUUAGGACCGGUCUGACAAGAGAUGUGCUCAAUGAAAACACAGCAAAACACAGGACCACAAAUCACUGGACUGUACUUCCUUUUCUGAUGGCAAACUCAAUCCAAACACACCAGCAGUAUAUUUUUGAACAUGAUUUUAUUUAUGGUUUGUGAUUCAUAUUUUUAUACCACAGGAUGGUUUAUUCAGGUCAUGUCAGCACAUUUUAUGUCAUUAAUAAUAUUUUCCAUAUGAGCUUCCAGUUCUUGCAUUUUCAAUAGUACAAAAGGACAUUUAAAGGGAACCACCCUUUAAUUGUCUGAUCUUGUCCUUUGCUUUUUACAGUAUCUGUGAUGAAAACAAGAGUGAGGUCACCUACUGUAACAUCUAUCUUUGAUCUACCUCUCAUUGAUCUCAGCUUAUGCGCAUCGUUUUGAGUAGUAUUUGAUCAUUGGUGAAUAAGCUCGGAUCAAUGAGGCAAACAUAAAUACAAAACCUGUGCUAAUUGAAAGAAAACAAGUUGACAAGAAGAUUGAUUCCAAGAUUUGGUUAAAAAACAGCAUGAUAAAUUUAUAAGCAGUUUUUGUAGGCUGGUCAUUUUUGACUGGGAACAUCACAGGUAUAACAAGGUGGGAAAUAAUUCAAGUAAACAUACAAAAAUUAUAAAAAGAAUUUCGGAAAGUCAACUUUUGAGCAAAAUCUGUAGGUUUUAGACCACUGUGAUUACAUUAACAAACUUUUUUUUUUU